GAUGAACGCUGGCGGCGUGCCUAAUACAUGCAAGUCGAGCGAACGGACGAGAAGCUUGCUUCUCUGAUGUUAGCGGCGGACGGGUGAGUAACACGUGGAUAACCUACUUAUUAGUCUGGGAUAACUUCGGGAAACCGGAGCUAAUACCGGCUAAUAUUUUGAACCGCAUGGUUCAAAAGUGCAUGACGGUUUUGCUGUCACUUAUAGAUGGUUUCGCGCUGCAUUAGCUAGUUGGUAAGGUAACGGCUUACCAAGGCAACGAUGCAUAGCCGACCUGAGAGGGUGAUCAGCCACACUGGAACUGAGACACGGUCCAGACUCCUACGGGAGGCAGCAGUAGGGAAUCUUGCGCAAUGGGCGAAAGCCUGACGCAGCAACGCCGCGUGAGUGAUGAAGGUCUUCGGGUCGUAAAACUCUGUUAUUAGGGAAGAAAAGAUGUAGAAGAAACUGUGCAUGUCUUGACGGUACCUAAUCAAAAAGCCACGGCUAACUACGUG
RNAcentral lists this ribosomal RNA (497 nucleotides) under uncultured bacterium. RNAcentral's name for it is "partial 16S ribosomal RNA". It matches the Rfam family "Bacterial small subunit ribosomal RNA", at positions 28 to 507 of the family's 1533-position model. The record is from RNAcentral.